This 434-nucleotide ribosomal RNA is filed under the name uncultured bacterium. Its description in RNAcentral is "bacterial SSU rRNA". It matches the Rfam family "Bacterial small subunit ribosomal RNA", at positions 29 to 507 of the family's 1533-position model. The record is from RNAcentral.
AACGAACGCUGGCGGCAGGCCUAACACAUGCAAGUCGAGCGAGACCUUCGGGUCUAGCGGCGGACGGGUUAGUAACGCGUGGGAACGUGCCCUUCUCUGCGGAAUAGCCACUGGAAACGGUGAGUAAUACCGCAUACGCCCUUCGGGGGAAAGAUUUAUCGGAGAAGGAUCGGCCCGCGUUAGAUUAGAUAGUUGGUGGGGUAACGGCCUACCAAGUCUACGAUCUAUAGCUGGUUUUAGAGGAUGAUUAGCAACACUGGGACUGAGACACGGCCCAGACUCCUACGGGAGGCAGCAGUGGGGAAUCUUAGACAAUGGGCGCAAGCCUGAUCCAGCCAUGCCGCGUGAGUGAUGAAGGCCUUAGGGUCGUAAAGCUCUUUCGCCAGAGAUGAUAAUGACAGUAUCUGGUAAAGAAGUCCCCGGCUAACUCCGUG